Molecule: non-coding RNA, 492 nt
Organism: Vicugna pacos (alpaca)
Lineage: Eukaryota; Metazoa; Chordata; Mammalia; Artiodactyla; Camelidae
Source: RefSeq, a predicted model, not a curated record
CAAGUGAAUUCGGCUAUGGUACUGUUCGCGCUUCUGGAAGGAUUUUGUCAGGACUCUUUCUGUCUUUUGAAAUAAGAGAUGUUCCACCAACGAUCAGCAGGUAUCUUGAGCAAAUGUGUGGGUAAGUGGAUACAUAUCUUGUUGUAUACAUGGGACUGGGUGAGCUAGAAGUCCACUUACACUCCAACAUCUGGGCACUGAUAAAUCGACACUAUUUUUUUAAGAUAUCAAUCACAGAAUUGUGCUUCUUGUUUAGACGUCUGUUUAGGGCAUCCAUAGUGGGAGAGAGGGUCAGAAGACUCCAGGUUUGCCAUUGUGUUGAUAUCAUACUUGCAGCCUUCGAAAUGAUUUAUAGAUUGAAUUAGAUAUUAUGAGGUUUGUAUCCAAAUAAAAUCAUUUCUUAAACCAUCUAAAUCUAAUUACAAACCACUGUUGCCAAUGUUGGGUACCAGCUUGUCAAGUCUAUAGGUACAAAAACAGUGAAUUGAUAAA